UGCUCUGGAUAGGUUUGUAUGGGAAACGACGAAAGCAGCGCUUCGAACACUUUCCUGGCCUGGCAGUUCCUGUUAUCCUGGGCAGAGACUUCAUCAUCCGGCAGAAGUUGGUGCUGGGCCUGCCCAAUGGAGGGUACGUCUACCACGGCUCAUCGGGAUUUUUCCGCUUCGUAGCAGCACGGGAACACUGCACAGCACAGCAAGCUGUGGCAGUGUUGAAACGUCUGGGCUGCCGACUGUCUUGGGAUCAUUCUAUGGUCCCGAGGAGCAACGCCGUCAGCUUGAACAAGUAGUGCGGCAGUUUGACGAACUCUUUACGGAAAAACCGGCUCUUGACGAAAUGCUCCAAACCGGUGCAGUUCAAAGGCCCCAGACCCCUUGGGCAUUUCCUGUUGUUCUGCCUCCGAAACGUGAUAUGGAACACUUGGAACACCUGUCAAUCGUCCUUGCAAGGAUGAAUGAAGCGGGCAUAA
Molecule: long non-coding RNA, 473 nt
Organism: Ornithodoros turicata
Lineage: Eukaryota; Metazoa; Arthropoda; Arachnida; Ixodida; Argasidae
Exons: 3
Source: RefSeq, a predicted model, not a curated record